GGGAUACGCCGGCGUGGCGAACCUUGACAUGGUAGGGGUCACAGGUUCGAUCCCUGUCGUGCCCACCA
RNAcentral lists this transfer RNA (68 nucleotides) under Bradyrhizobium sp. CIR18. RNAcentral describes it as "tRNA-OTHER". Lineage: Bacteria; Pseudomonadati; Pseudomonadota; Alphaproteobacteria; Hyphomicrobiales; Nitrobacteraceae. The record is from RNAcentral.